This 636-nucleotide ribosomal RNA is filed under the name uncultured bacterium. Its description in RNAcentral is "bacterial SSU rRNA". It matches the Rfam family "Bacterial small subunit ribosomal RNA", at positions 202 to 826 of the family's 1533-position model. The record is from RNAcentral.
AAAAGAUGGUUCUGCUAUCACUCUUGGAUGGACCUGCGGUGCAUUAGCUAGUUGGUAAGGUAACGGCUUACCAAGGCAAUGAUGCAUAGCCGAGUUGAGAGACUGAUCGGCCACAUUGGGACUGAGACACGGCCCAAACUCCUACGGGAGGCAGCAGUAGGGAAUCUUCCACAAUGGACGCAAGUCUGAUGGAGCAACGCCGCGUGAGUGAAGAAGGGUUUCGGCUCGUAAAGCUCUGUUGGUAGUGAAGAAAGAUAGAGGUAGUAACUGGCCUUUAUUUGACGGUAAUUACCUAGAAAGUCACGGCUAACUACGUGCCAGCAGCCGCGGUAAUACGUAGGUGGCAAGCGUUGUCCGGAUUUAUUGGGCGUAAAGCGAGUGCAGGCGGUUCAAUAAGUCUGAUGUGAAAGCCUUCGGCUCAACCGGAGAAUUGCAUCAGAAACUGUUGAACUUGAGUGCAGAAGAGGAGAGUGGAACUCCAUGUGUAGCGGUGGAAUGCGUAGAUAUAUGGAAGAACACCAGUGGCGAAGGCGGCUCUCUGGUCUGCAACUGACGCUGAGGCUCGAAAGCAUGGGUAGCGAACAGGAUUAGAUACCCUGGUAGUCCAUGCCGUAAACGAUGAGUGCUAAGUGUUGG